Molecule: small RNA, 246 nt
Filed under: Otolemur garnettii (small-eared galago)
Lineage: Eukaryota; Metazoa; Chordata; Mammalia; Primates; Galagidae
Description: Metazoan signal recognition particle RNA (ENSOGAG00000032798.1)
Source: RNAcentral
GCUGAGUGUUGUGGCAGGUGCCUGUAGUCCCAGCUACUUGGGAGGCUGAGGCAAAAGGAUUGCUUGAGUCCAAGAGUUUGAGAUUGCUGUGAGCUAUGAAGUCACAGCACUCUACCAAGUGUGACAAAGUGAGACUUUUUUUAAAAAAAGAGACAGCAUCUCACUUUAUCGCCCUUGGUAGAGUGCUGUGGCGUCACAGCUCACAGCAGCCUCCAACUCCUGGGCUUAGGCUAUUCUCCUGCCUCA